UUUUUUUUUUUUUGCCUUUACUUUUUGUGGUGUCGACUGAAAUUUCUCAGUAGAGAGGGUGUAAAUCCAUUUGAAAUCUAGGCACUUUCGUUUUUUGCUUAGAUGUGCUCGAUGGAUGCUAAAGCUUAUGUCUUGGCAAGAAUGGACCAACACCUUAACUUCGUUAGAAAGCGGAUUCACAUCCAUCCUUCUCCUUAUUUUGGCCCUUUUGUUAGGCAUUGAAUCCCUCCUUAGGUGCUCAGUGGUGUCAUCUCUUCCGCAACACCUAAAUGGAGGUUUGUUUCAUUCCUUUCUAAUGUGAUGCAGAUUCAUUGUGCUUAGAAAUUUUUCAUUUUCAAAACAGAAAUAUAUGAAGGGGUUGGAUUUAUUUUGGUUCAUUAUAUAAACUUACUCCAAUAAGAUAAGCAAAACCUAAUGUUGAAACGAAAUAAAAACUCAUUUAAUAGUACAAAGAAAUGCUUCUAAAGGAGCCAGGAUUUCUAAUACUUCUGUCGCCAAAUUAAUCUACUUUUGAAAAAGCAACAAAAAUAAGAACGUAAAUUAAACAGUAAAAGAACCUCGGGACACCAGGUACCUUUCUAAGUCUCGAAUAAUAUAUAAAUAGAAGAUCCAAUCUAAUGUUCCCUUCCGUAGGAUCUCAUCCUCCGACCAAAGUUAGACUACUCUCGAUAUUUGGUAUAUGCUGUAUUUUAUAACCCAGUUUUCAGUAGUCUCUCGCACUAAACAGUUAAAGAACAGACACUUUGCACCACUUAGCGCCCUAACCAAUAUCAGCAUUCUAUAUUUUAUAAUUGAAACAAAUAAUUUUGAAGAAACCCUACGGUUCAAUCUGACCGUAACAUUUCAUACUAUAAAAUAUCAAUCACUAUUUUGUAGUAUAGCCAAUAUUGUACAGCCGAAAUGGUAACAACUAAGUUAUCAAACUUAAAGUGAAGUGACCGCUACAGAAGUGCAAAAUUGCACGAGUUGACCACCCCUCCCUAAUCUUCCCUCGAAAGCCAACAAGGCAGAAAAGGCUCCUUUAACAGUAAAGCACCAUAUAACAUUCAGAAUGGAGAUAUCACAACUUGUAAACCAGAAACCAGCUUUGCUCCAGCAGGUUGCAGCUUGUGCUUCAAUGAGCGUGUUUCGCCUAAUGCCCAGCACGUUCUCAGCCACACAAUUUAUCUUCUCACCACACUAAUGAUGGUGCUGAUAAAGAAUGUCAGUUUCACCAAAUGAAAGUGUGAUCAAUAACAUGAAUCUUCAAGAUGUGCUUCAACUAGGUGAGACUAGAACACUUCCCUCUGAGAGAAGGCUACACCCAGCUUGGAUGUGCUGCUUUUGCAACAGCUCCAAUUCACUAGAAGGGAAAACCUCUNNNNNN
This 1366-nucleotide long non-coding RNA is filed under the name Nicotiana tabacum (common tobacco). RNAcentral's name for it is "long non-coding RNA (NTAB_LNC009020)". Lineage: Eukaryota; Viridiplantae; Streptophyta; Magnoliopsida; Solanales; Solanaceae. The record is from RNAcentral.